CCCAACAUGGCUGGAGUGCGGCGGAGGUGAGCCGCCGCCCCCUGCCGCCCCAAGCUCCUGCGC
This 63-nucleotide microRNA precursor is filed under the name Loxodonta africana (African savanna elephant). RNAcentral describes it as "miRNA (ENSLAFG00000032987.1)". Lineage: Eukaryota; Metazoa; Chordata; Mammalia; Proboscidea; Elephantidae. The record is from RNAcentral.